AUUGAACGCUGGCGGCAGGCCUAACACAUGCAAGUCGAGCGGAUGAAGGGAGCUUGCUCCUGGAUUCAGCGGCGGACGGGUGAGUAAUGCCUAGGAAUCUGCCUGGUAGUGGGGGAUAACGUCCGGAAACGGGCGCUAAUACCGCAUACGUCCUGAGGGAGAAAGUGGGGGAUCUUCGGACCUCACGCUAUCAGAUGAGCCUAGGUCGGAUUAGCUAGUUGGUGGGGUAAAGGCCAACCAAGGCGACGAUCCGUAACUGGUCUGAGAGGAUGAUCAGUCACACUGGAACUGAGACACGGUCCAGACUCCUACGGGAGGCAGCAGUGGGGAAUAUUGGACAAUGGGCGAAAGCCUGAUCCAGCCAUGCCGCGUGUGUGAAGAAGGUCUUCGGAUUGUAAAGCACUUUAAGUUGGGAGGAAGGGCAGUAAGCUAAUACCUUGCUGUUUUGACGUUACCAACAGAAUAAGCACCGGCUAACUUCGU
This 483-nucleotide ribosomal RNA is filed under the name uncultured bacterium. RNAcentral describes it as "partial 16S ribosomal RNA". It matches the Rfam family "Bacterial small subunit ribosomal RNA", at positions 30 to 506 of the family's 1533-position model. The record is from RNAcentral.